Magnolia sinica is the source of this 1641-nucleotide RNA transcript. It is a transcript of the gene named polycomb group protein EMF2B-like, with no coding region annotated. The transcript has 6 exons. Lineage: Eukaryota; Viridiplantae; Streptophyta; Magnoliopsida; Magnoliales; Magnoliaceae. The record is from RefSeq and is a predicted model, not a curated record.
UCUAAAACUUGCCAUGUCAGUCUAACUCAGUCGAAUUUUGGAUCACCAUUAGUACUCGAUAACCAAUUUAAAUGGGAAAAUUUAAAGGGUUAUUCUUGAAAUUCCUUUUGGAGGUGAAAGCAUUUUGCUGUUAUUCAUAAUUUGUAAUGCAGUAAAUUAUGCAUGGUUAUAUUUGUAUUUGAAUUAUUGUUCCUGAAGUUUUUCAGCUUAGUUUGGAAGAAAACCUUCAUGGUACAUUGUUCAGCUCUAUUGAAUAAAUUGCAGGUAGAUUGGAUUUAAUCUUCCAGUUGCUGAUCUUUUCCAUCAUUUGUGUUGUUAGGGAAAAAAGAUCAUGUUGUCCUCAGUUGGGAUCAGAGAUAUAAGAUUGCUAUCAAUGUAUCUGAGGCACUUGAUUAUCUACAUAGCCGUAGUGCUUAGUCUGUUAUCCAUAGGGAUGUGAAAUCAUCGAACCUCCUUCUGGUCGAUGAUUUUGAGCCACAGAAUACAAAUGACCAUAUCGCUUGGGACUGGGAGUGAUGAAGUGCAAGUGCAAAAUGCAGUACCCUUGUAUGUUCUGUUGGCAAAGCCUGUUUCUGAUAUUACAGUUUCAGAGCAUUCUGCAGUUUAUCAGCUCAGGAGGACAUGCAUUCUGAAAGCUUUCUCUGAGUUUGGGAGUGGAGAUAAAAAAGAAGCCACCUUUGUUAUUCCUGAGCUUAGGAAGUUGUCAGCUGAUGGCAAAGCUGGCAAUCUCACCGUCUUACUUUUUCUUCAGGGGAAGCUGCAAUUACUUCCAGUGAAAGUGAUCUACUCAAAGACCAAUUCGAUCUGGCAUCUUUUCCAUGUGGAGUAACAUCGAUGAACGCCUUCUUGAUAAAGUUCUUCCCAGUUGUCUAUUGAAAGACCAAAGAUCCUGGUAUGGACAGCAAUUACUGCAAAUACGACAACCACGGCCUUCAGCUAUUCACAUUAUCGUUGUAUCUGGCCGGCUUGACUUCAACCUUCUUCACAUCCUACACCACAAGAAACCUCGGUCGGAGGCUGACCAUGCUCAUUGCAGGGAUUUUCUUCAUCAUUGGCGUGGUGCUAAAUGCAGCUGCCCAGAACCUUGCCAUGCUCAUUAUAGGAAGGAUCUUCCUGGGGUGUGGAGUCGGCUUCGCUAAUCAGUGUCAUUACUAAGAUCAAGAUUCACGGAUUUUUGGUGCAACAUAAUAUCUAUAAGUUCAGCUGCACAGUAUCCGUUCCUUGGUAGUUCAGCUAAUUUGAAUCUGCAACAACAAGUUGCUGGAAAUAGCAGCUAUGCUGACGUUGAAUUCAUCCAUCCUGUGAUUAUGGCCGUUAGCAGAGGAAAGCUUCCACUGCUGAUGACGCACCAGAACUCUUCCAACUACAGCUCCAACAUGUUGGCUGAUUUCUCUGAGAUGGACCAGAGGCUUCAGUUGUUGAAGUCAAGAUCUAGCAAUCUGAAUUAGAAUCCAAUGAUGACGGUUGAUCAAAGCUUCAGUUGUUGAAUUCUUUUUUCUUUUUCUUUUUUUCCCCAGAUUUCUAUUCCAAAUAGAAACUAAAAUUUCAAUUUGAAAAGUGGGUGUGAUUCUCAUGUUUUUCUCCAUGAGUUAUUACCUUAUGAGAACAAAAAUGCAAGCCAUUUGAUCAAUGGCCACUGAA